Molecule: long non-coding RNA, 1285 nt
Filed under: Pan troglodytes (chimpanzee)
Lineage: Eukaryota; Metazoa; Chordata; Mammalia; Primates; Hominidae
Description: long non-coding RNA NONPTRT005570
Source: RNAcentral
CGGAAAAGCCAACACCAUGGUAGCAUUAAUGAAAGUUUACCAAGAGGAAGAUGAAGCCUACCAGGAGUUAGUUACCGUGGCAACCAUGUUUUUCCAGUACUUACUGCAGCCAUUUAGGGCUAUGCGAGAAGUUGCAACUUUAUAAGUCCUUGGAUGAGGAUGACCUAGGUCCUAGAAGGGUAGUUGCCCUGGAGAAAGAAGCUGAAGAAUGGACCAGACGGGCUGAAGAAGCUGUCGUCUCUAUUCAAGAUAUCACAGUGAAUUAUUUUAAGGAGACAGUAAAAGCAUUAGCAGGAGUUUCUGAUAUAUUGCGCAGAAUCAACAAGAUAUAAAGCAGAAUGAUGAUCCUGGUUUUUUGGUCAAACUAUCCAUAUGAGCCUGUCUGUCUAGCUAGUCAUAGAAACAAUAUGGAAGCAAGUGUGCCAAAAUAUAAGAAGAAGUUGCCUCAACUAGGAAUGCAGAAAGAAAUGGAACAGGAUGUGAAGAGAUUUGGCCAGGCUGCCUGGGCCACAGCAAUUCCCAGGUUGGAAAAACUUAAGCUAAUGCUAGCUCAAGAGACUCUGCAACUCAUGAGAGCGAAAGAGUUGUGUUUAAAUCACAAAAGAGCUGAAAUUCAGGGAAAGAAAAACAGGAUGAAGUUGUCUAUUACGAUCCAUGUGAAAGUCCAGAGGAACUUAGUCAUUGACUGUGGUGGGGCUGCAGGACGAUAAGAAUUUGGAAGUGAAAGAACUCAGAAGGCAGUGCCAGCAGCUGGAGUCUAUUAAACGGGGCAGGAUCUGUGUCAAAAGAGCUUCUCUCCAGAGUAGAAAGGAUCAGUGCAAAGAAAAUCAUUGGCUCAGAUUGCAACAGGCUGAAGAAAGCAUAAGAUAUUCUCGUCAGCAUCACAGUAUUCAGAUGAAAAGAGACAAGAUAAAAAGGAGCAAAAGAAAAAAGAAUGGAUCAACCAAGAAAGUCAAACACUCCAACGAUUGAGAGCAUUUAAAGAUCAGCCACAGACUUCUUGGCCUCUCAAAUGCCCGGAUGCCUGAAACUUCUGAAGAGAUACUGCCUUCAGCUUCUUCUCAGUCCCAGCACGGUGUGAACACGUAGCUCCAAUGAUGCCUCUGCUUGCUUCAGCCUGCUGGUGCUUAAUUAGGUGCUUAUCCUAACACCUUAGAACAUACUUUCUGUAGAUGGUUUAAUUCCAACCAUCAUAUAUGCUUUUUCUCAGAUUUUCUCCAGCUUCUCAAAACUUCCCUGUAAAUGAGGCCUUGUAGGCAGCUUUCUUGCUAUGACCUCACCUUCC